RNAcentral lists this ribosomal RNA (266 nucleotides) under uncultured bacterium. Its description in RNAcentral is "partial 16S ribosomal RNA". It matches the Rfam family "Bacterial small subunit ribosomal RNA", at positions 524 to 789 of the family's 1533-position model. The record is from RNAcentral.
UACGUAGGGUGCGAGCGUUAAUCGGAAUUACUGGGCGUAAAGCGUGCGCAGGCGGUUUUGUAAGUCUGACGUGAAAUCCCCGGGCUCAACCUGGGAAUUGCGUUGGAGACUGCAAGGCUAGAAUCUGGCAGAGGGGGGUAGAAUUCCACGUGUAGCAGUGAAAUGCGUAGAGAUGUGGAGGAACACCGAUGGCGAAGGCAGCCCCCUGGGUCAAGAUUGACGCUCAUGCACGAAAGCGUGGGGAGCAAACGAAGGAUAGAGUACCG